GUAUCAUGGCUCAGGAUGAACGCUAGCUACAGGCUUAACACAUGCAAGUCGAGGGGAAACGAUAUUGGAAGCUUGCUUCCGAUAGGCGUCGACCGGCGCACGGGUGAGUAACGCGUAUCCAACCUGCCCACCACGUUGGGGAUAACCUUGCGAAAGUAAGACUAAUACCCAAUGAUAUCUCUAGAAGACAUCUGAAAGAGAUUAAAGAUUCAUCGGUGAUGGAUGGGGAUGCGU
Molecule: ribosomal RNA, 234 nt
Filed under: uncultured bacterium
Lineage: Bacteria
Description: partial 16S ribosomal RNA
Rfam family: Bacterial small subunit ribosomal RNA
Source: RNAcentral